This 6042-nucleotide long non-coding RNA is filed under the name Olea europaea subsp. europaea. The record is from RNAcentral. Lineage: Eukaryota; Viridiplantae; Streptophyta; Magnoliopsida; Lamiales; Oleaceae.
CAAAACUCUCAAAAGCAAAACCCUAGACAUUUCGCAGCAACACAAGCAAUUUCGUUGUGCUUCUCACUCCAACUACCUCUGUGAACUCAAAUCUACGUUGAACUAGCAAUUGCGAAGCUCUGGCGAGUCUGGCAUGGUCUCCCUAGCUCCAGCAAACCAUCGUCAGACCAAAGGUUAGUCAGUUGAGGGCCCUUCUUCUAGUUGGAGAUUUUUCUUGAGCUGUUGGUGUUUUUUGGAGGCUGGUAGUGGUAUUUUCUUAUGGUAGUUGGUGUGUUGGGGUUAGGUGGGGUGUUGUGGGGGUGAGAGAUUUGGGGAAGAGGAUGAAAAAUUAAUUUCUAAAGGUUUGGACUUUGGGUGACACAAAAAAAAAGUUUGUGUAUAAUCUAUGAAAGAUAAAAGAUUUGGGACUGCAGUUGCAACUAGCUCUUUUUAGUUUUGGCCUUUUUAAGUGGAUUUCAUUAUUAAGCUAUUGGAAUUGGAUGGUAGGGGAUGUUUCGCAAGGUUUGGACCAUCUAGGGAGGUCUUUCUACUAAAAUGAAAGGAUAUGAGAUAUUCCACAAUUAUAGGCAAAAGUCAAGGAAUUUUGCACCAAUCACCUUUAAUUUUAUCCAAAUUUGCAAAAAUAAUAAUAAAUUUCAAAUUAGAUUAUGUGUGGCUUUCUUUAAAGAAAAAAAGAAGUAGAAGAAAGCGGCAAAAAAUUCUAGCACCUUAAAUCAUAUAUAGACCUUGCUAUAUAUACACCGGUACACGGGCUUUGCACGCCCCUCACAAGAGGGGGAGGGGUCCAUGCCCAAUAAAAAAGCCCCCCCCCCCCCCCCAACACACACACACAUUGUGAGGGGAGUUACAAAUAGCAAAAUUCUCAUAUAUAAGACAAAUAAAUUGUUACAUCAUGUUAAUUUUAAUGUAAAGCAAAGUUUGAAUUCAUAUUAUAUUUAGAUUUUCACAAACAAAUUGUAUGCAUCUUUUUAAUUAAUCCAAAAAGAAUUCAAAUUAAAUAGUAUGCGACUUCCUUAAAAAAGUUGGCUGAAUAUAUCGCUUUCUAAUACAAAAUCUUAAUUCCUAUUAAUAUUUAAAUUUUCACAAAUAAGUUGCAUACAUCUCCCUAAUUGAUCCAAAAUUGAAAUUACUUAUAUACUAACCACCAUUGAUCCAAAGAUGAACUUUCAUGUAUACUAACACAAGCAAAAACCUCAAAAAUCUCAAAUUCAUAAUAAAAUUGCAAUAGAUUUUGUAAAGUAGUUUGUGUUGGUAAUUAUUUGGAAAACUAAACUUGUAAAGCGAUUGGAUAAUGAAGUUGAAUAGGAGAUGAAAUUAUUACUGAAAAUCUAAAAAUUUCCACUUGAAAACUUAUUAUCUGGUUAAUUAAAAUUAUAAAGAAAAAAUUAUUAUACUACUGGAAAAUAGAUGGGCAACUUAUGAAUUUUGUCAAAAUUUAAGAACCUGCUUGAAAACUAAUAUUGGACUUGAAAGGAGAUUCGAAGAAGAAUAGCAUGCAGCGAGUUUAAAAGUAUCAAUUUUUAGCUUAAUACUUAAUUAAUACGAUUUGUUAAUUCUAAACCUUUUUUUAUUAUGAUUUUUUAAAAAGUCCCUACUUUUUAGUGUAUUUGUGUAAUUUGCCCACCAUUAAUUUGGUCAGGCCCAUCUUAGCUGAAUCUCAGGUGGUUUAAUUACCAUUUGAGUAGUAUGAAUAUGGAUUCAGACCAUUGUUAUUUGGGAAAGUGUUGGUAUGAAACGGGCUAACGAGACCCAAAUUGCCUGGAAUGAAUUUGGAGGGAGGAGUUGAAAUUUAAUCUCCCACCACCUAUAACUUCCAUGUAACUCUCACUAUACCGAAACCAUAAAAGAAGAAAAUGCAAAAUUUAGAUAUAGAGAAGGGAGUGAAAAUACAUUAGGGUACGUUUGAUUGCAAAUAUGGAAUUUGGGUGGAAAUAAAACAAAUUUCAAGAAAUUAAGUUGUCUAAAAAUUGUUUUACUGAGAAUUGUCAAUUAAUAGUGUUUGAUUUGUUUAAUUUUUCACCUGAAAAAUGUUGAAAUAAAAGUAUUUUUUGGUGUUUAUUUGAUUUUAUUUUUCAUGAAAAUUGUCAAUUUAAUCCACUUUUGCAAUUGUUCCUAAAAUUUGUUUCCAUUGCGUCAAAAAAAAAAAAAAAAAAAAAACCCGAAGAAAUCCAAAAAUCAUCUACCUUUCGGUAUUCGUUUGGCUUUGUUUUAAAUGAAAAUUUUCAAUUUAAGCGAUAUCCUCGUUUACAAUUGUUCCUAGAAUUUGUUUCAAUUGCAUAAAAAAAAAAAAAAAGAAGCAAAAACUUGGAAAAGCUAAAAAAAUCUGAUGUGGCAAAGAUUUGUAGAAAAUCAUUUUCAUAAAAAAAUUCUACCAUCAAACAAGUUAAAAAGUGGGAAAUGAAAUUUAAUUUCCAUUUUUCAUGGAAAAGAAAUGUCUAUCAAAUAGGGCCUUAGUGUAUUGACUAGAUUUUGCAAGAUUACCAUCUCAAAAUUGAUUCUUGGAUUGUGAAUAUCAAACUCUUUCCAUCGUGAUCGAGUCUAUAGCCAAAGAGCAGUAAGUGAAUAAACCAAUGGCAAGUAAUUCAACCUUUCAUUCGUCGGAAUUUCAAGUAAGUUCUAAGACUCCAAACUCAAUUAGAAGCAUGCUAAGUAGUUUUUUACAUUGAUAUCAGCAUCUAAGUAGGUUGUUUUCUUGCUCUGUGACAUGCUAAAAAAUGGUUUAAUGUGAUGAAAAUGCAUGUAUGUCAUUUUUCCUUCAAAGUUUGAACACAUUUCAUGGCAAGUUAUGAUAUACCUCAUAUAUGUUCUAUAAAUUUAUACUAUAUGUUCAUGUUAACAUAUAUAACAUGUUUGCAAAGUUUCAUAUUGUUGAGCUUUGUAUUCUGGAAGGAAGAAAAAUGGAACCCUAGUUAAAGAACCCAAACUUUCAUAACAUGAUAGCUUAUUCAAGGUCGAUCCUGAAAAUUUUAAGACUCUAAUCGACUAAUUAUUAUGAGGCCUUUGUCAUGGGUGGUAUGAACGGCUACUUCGAGAUUGAAACUAAGGCCGAGUAACCUAUAGGAUGUGGUUGUAUCUCUAAUUGUGCAGAUGGUAAUAGGAUAACAUAUAGAAAAAAAUGGAAUUUGAUUGAAGUUCAAAUCAGUUUUACGGAAAAAUUAUGGUUUGCCUCUUUACGAAUUCAAAAGCUUGGAAAAUUGAAAAUUGAAGAUUGCAGAAGUUCAAAUUCUGAAGAAGGGUGGCCUAGUGACUUUGGCCCGGGGUCAACCCUAAGUUUACUGUACGUUACGUUUUGUGUUUUCAAAUGAUACAAAAGAUGAUUACUUUUGGCAUUGAAAUGAAGAAGUUAUGGUCUAUCGAAGUUUGGUUGAAUUUUUGAAAAUUCUACACUAGAAGAUGAACAGUAAACAUAAAAAAAUUCCUUCCCACCCUCAAACCAAGUUGUUGGUGUUCCAAACACGGCUUUAGAUAUUGCUGUUGUAAAAUCAUGAAUUCAGAUUAUCAAAAUUAACUAAAUGGGCCAAACAAGUUUUUUGAAUGUUUGCACGCGGAGGUGUACCUGAUUGCGCCCUAUUUUUAUUUUUUUUAAUUAAAAAGUUUAAAAAAUUUAAAAACUUUGAUCAGCACGUUGGGGGCUCAUGUGGAAUCGUUUGUAUUUCUAAAAAUUACAGUCUGAUUCCUAAAAUAUUCUAUACACUUAAAUUAAUUUUUAGACAGUUAAUUUUUUUUUAUUUAAUGAUUAAAUGAAAUUUGUAAAAAUACUUUUUUUUUCCAAGUUGAUUAAAUUCUGAUUUUUUUAAUAAAAUAAAAAAUAUUUAUUAAGUAGUAUUUUCAUAGUGGCAGUUAAUUUUUGAGAUGCUCUCAUUUUUUAGAAAUUGAAAAAUACUUUAAAAGUAUUCGAAAUACCAUAUUUUUCCACAUUCAUGAGUGGUGUAAGUUUUGAUUGGCUUAUAUGAUUCACUGUUAUAUAUAUAUUUUAACAGAUAUGACUGGAUCUGUGUACAAUUUUUUUUUUUUUUUAACAGAUAUGACCGGAUCUGUGUACAUUUUUAGCAUUCUUAUAGGGAAAAGUAGAAAAGAAUGAGUUGUGGAACGUGUUGAAAAGUUACAUAGAUAUCGAAACUAUGAAAUGGAUUAACGACCUAACAUGUUACCAUAUAUAAAACAUCUUGAAGCAAUGCGUCUUGAAGUAACACAUUUGGAAAAGUAUAUAUGUGAGGCUGAGAAAAUAUAUCAUCUAAUGAGAACACUUCCUACUCAUUGGCAUGAUAUUGUAGUUGAAAUUCUAGACAAGUCACUUAAUCUGGCUUAUAGCUAUCUGAUCAGGAUUUUAUGAAGAAAUGGAAGAAAGAAAAUUAGAAUAUUAAGAAGAUCAGCCUAUCUAUGUAUAGUUAAUUGUAGCAGUGACUUAGUGACAACCAAAUUGCUGAACAAUAUCUAUGGAAUGCUCUUCUCAUGGCUUGUAGUUGUACACAAAAGUUUAAUUUGAUCGCAUUAUAUAUAUCAAAAUGUCUUACUUUAUAAAUGCUUCAUUGCUUAAAUGAAUAGGAGUUCUAAGGUUAAAAAUAUUUAAGUAAUUCUGAUUGAAAACUUAUAUUUUUGCACUAUGACAUUAAUUUUAUUUAUUUAUUUAUUUAUUGCUAUUAUUAUUUUUGUGAUGAAAUAUUAACAUAAUGGAUGAUGGUUGGGAACUUAGUGAGCUUUUAACCCCAUAUCUAGUGUUAAAUUAUCAUAAAAUUUAAUUUGCGUAAGUACAAAAUGAUAUGUGUUCAUAAUUGGACAUUCAUAUAAUUGUCUCUAAAAUUGUGACAGACCAUAGCAUUUAAGAAUAUCAUUACUGACCUUAAUAAAUGAGAAAAAUUGAAUGACAAUAACUAUAAUAUUUAGCACCAUGAAAUUUGGCAAGUGUUGGAGAAAUAAGAUUGUCUUGAGAGUAUUAACCACAUAAUACAACCUAGGGAUGGGCCAGACUACUCAACACAGAAGGGUUCAAGAAAUUUAACAGACAAGGAAAAAAGAUUCCAAUACUUGUGCGAUUUUUCUAAGUUCCAUGUUGGAUGAUCUCGUUCAAAAGUGUGAACAGUUUUCAACUGCUCAUUUGUUUAGGUAUAUCUGAGAGAGAAAUAUGGUGGCACUAGUGUGACUAGACUCAGAUAGCUGAUUAUUAAAUUUGACACAUACAAGAACUCCUAACCACAACAUCACACAACAUGUGAGGACCAUGUCUAACAUGAUUUGGGAGUUAAAGUCGACUUGUAACAUACUCUAUGAUGAAUAGCAAGUUCAAGCUUUGAUCCACUCUAUUCCUGAUAAUUGAGAGCAUCUGAAAGUUAAUCUGAUUUAUAAUGAUAGCAUCAAAACAUUUGCUGAUGCUACCCACAAUGUGGAAUUAGAGGACGAGCGAUUUUGUACUGCUAAAUCUCUAGGAUAUGCUUUUGUGGUUGAGUCUAGUUCUUCAAAAGCUCCAGCCUUUAAGUGUAAAAAGAACCGUAUCAAAUGUAGGAAAGGAAAAAGGAAAGAAAAUGGACAGGGACCUAAGAAGAACAAUUACAAACGCAACAAGAAGAAAAAGUGAUUUGGAAAGAAUAAAGACAAGAGCAAGCUGAAAUACUAUAACUAUCUGUUGCUGAUUUUCUCGAGAAUGCCUUGAGUCAAAGAAGGUAGCCCUUAUAAGUACUUCUUUUAGUGCUAUUUAUGUUUCAAGCAAUGUUAUACUAACUAAAUCUUAUCAUAUGUGAAUUGUAGACUCAAGAUCUAUAGACCAUGUCAUUAGAGAUCGAUAAGCGUUUAUGGAGUUUCAUCGAUUUCUAGUUUCUAUAAAAUGGAUAUACAUGGACAACGGUGAUAGAUUGGAGGAGAAAGCGAAUGGUACAUGUAAGUUGCAUUUGUGUGGUGGCCGUACUAUUUUUCUUCAUAAUGUCCUGCUUGCACCGGUGAUGUGACGAAACUUAAUUUCUGUUAUUGUUCCUUUAAGAUUAGUUUUCUUUUGAACUUUCGUGGUAUUUCUAUUCGUAUUUGUAAUGGUAAUAUAUAUUAUGACUCUGG